Sapajus apella (tufted capuchin) is the source of this 175-nucleotide long non-coding RNA. RefSeq lists it as uncharacterized. The transcript is spliced from 3 exons. NCBI's taxonomy places the organism in Eukaryota, Metazoa, Chordata, Mammalia, Primates, Cebidae. The record is from RefSeq and is a predicted model, not a curated record.
UCCACUGUACGGAUAAAACCACAUUUUGUUUAUCCAUUCAUCAGUUGAUGGGCAUUUGAGUUUCUACUGGGCAUAAUAAAUAACAAUGCUCUGAACAUGCACACGUGGGAUUUUGGGUGGACAUGUGUUUCCAAUUUUCUUGGGUAUACAGCUAGGAGCUGAUUGCAAGGCCAGG